UACGUAGGUGGCAAGCGUUGUCCGGAUUUACUGGGCGUAAAGCGCGCGUAGGCGGCUGAUUAAGUCCGAUGUGAAAUCUCCCGGCUCAACCGGGAGCGGUCAUUGGAUACUGGUCGGCUCGAGGGAGGCAGAGGAGAGUGGAAUUCCCGGUGUAGUGGUGGAAUGCGUAGAUAUCGGGAGGAACACCAGCGGCGAAGGCGGCUCUCUGGGCCUUUCCUGACGCUGAAGUGCGAAAGCGUGGGGAGCAAACCGG
This 253-nucleotide unclassified non-coding RNA is filed under the name uncultured Chloroflexota bacterium. Its description in RNAcentral is "uncultured Chloroflexi bacterium contains 16S-23S intergenic spacer region". It matches the Rfam family "Bacterial small subunit ribosomal RNA", at positions 524 to 776 of the family's 1533-position model. Lineage: Bacteria; Bacillati; Chloroflexota. The record is from RNAcentral.